UGGGGAAUUUUGGACAAUGGGGGAAACCCUGAUCCAGCCAUCCCGCGUGUGCGAUGAAGGCCUUCGGGUUGUAAAGCACUUUUGGCAGGAAAGAAACGUCAUGGGUUAAUACCCCGUGAAACUGACGGUACCUGCAGAAUAAGCACCGGCUAACUACGUGCCAGCAGCCGCGGUAAUACGUAGGGUGCAAGCGUUAAUCGGAAUUACUGGGCGUAAAGCGUGCGCAGGCGGUUCGGAAAGAAAGAUGUGAAAUCCCAGAGCUCAACUUUGGAACUGCAUUUUUAACUACCUGGCUAGAGUGUGUCAGAGGGGGGUGGAAUUCCGCGUGUAGCAGUGAAAUGCGUAGAUAUGCGGAAGAACACCGAUGGCGAAGGCAGCCUCCUGGGAUAACACUGACGCUCAUGCACGAAAGCGUGGGGAGCAAACAGG
RNAcentral lists this ribosomal RNA (429 nucleotides) under Acidobacteriota bacterium. RNAcentral's name for it is "Acidobacteria bacterium partial 16S ribosomal RNA". It matches the Rfam family "Bacterial small subunit ribosomal RNA", at positions 355 to 776 of the family's 1533-position model. Lineage: Bacteria; Pseudomonadati; Acidobacteriota. The record is from RNAcentral.